AGGUGGUGCAUGGUUGUCGUCAGCUCGUGUCGUGAGAUGUUGGGUUAAGUCCCGCAACGAGCGCAACCCACGUUAGUUGCUAACGCGUGAAGGCGAGCACUCUAGACGAACUGCCGUUGACAAACGGAGGAAGGUGGGAUGACGUCAAAUCAUCAUGCCCCUUAUGUUCUGGGCUACACACGUGCUACAAUGGCCGGUACAGACGGACGCAAAGCCGCGAGGUGGAGCAAAUCCUAAAAAGCCGGGUCUCAGUUCGGAUUGCAGGCUGCAAUUCGCCUGCAUGAAGUCGGAAUCGCUAGUAAUCGCAGGUCAGCAUACUGCGGUGAAUACGUUCCCGGGCCUU
RNAcentral lists this ribosomal RNA (343 nucleotides) under uncultured Pelotomaculum sp. Its description in RNAcentral is "bacterial SSU rRNA". It matches the Rfam family "Bacterial small subunit ribosomal RNA", at positions 1036 to 1382 of the family's 1533-position model. Lineage: Bacteria; Bacillati; Bacillota; Clostridia; Eubacteriales; Desulfotomaculaceae. The record is from RNAcentral.